AACGAACGUUGGCGGCAUGGAUUAGGCAUGCAAGUCGAACGAAUCCCGGGGUAGCAAUACCUCGGGGGAAGUGGCGAAAGGGGCAGUAAUACAUGGAUAACCUACCCUGGGGAUGGGCAUAGCCGUUCUAACGAGCGGGUAAUACCCAGCGAUUCGACUGGUUGGCAUCAAUCGGUCGGGAAAUGAAUUUCGCCUCGGGAGGGGUCCAUGCGAUAUCAGCUAGUUGGCGGGGUAACGGCCCACCAAGGCUUAGACGUCUAGCGGGUGUGAGAGCACGACCCGCGCCACUGGCACUGAGACACUGGCCAGACACCUACGGGUGGCUGCAGUCGAGGAUCUUCGUCAAUGGGCGCAAGCCUGAACGAGCGAUGCCGCGUGAGCGAUGAAGGCC
RNAcentral lists this ribosomal RNA (391 nucleotides) under uncultured bacterium. RNAcentral's name for it is "bacterial SSU rRNA". It matches the Rfam family "Bacterial small subunit ribosomal RNA", at positions 29 to 416 of the family's 1533-position model. The record is from RNAcentral.